This is a long non-coding RNA of Hemicordylus capensis (graceful crag lizard), 1953 nucleotides long. RefSeq lists it as uncharacterized. The record is from RefSeq and is a predicted model, not a curated record. Lineage: Eukaryota; Metazoa; Chordata; Lepidosauria; Squamata; Cordylidae. The transcript is spliced from 4 exons.
CCCAAGCCAGCCAGGAAGGAGGAGGCAGCCAGAGUGUUCUCUGCAGCAGAAGACCCCUUGCUGCCCUGCUUAACCCAGACCAGCAUUUGCCAGGUGACAAUAUUAUGAACUACACGAGCUGAAGCGGUGAGAUAGAUGACAAGAGCGCAAGUGGAGGAAGACACGGUGUGAGUCUGAUUGAAUACAACACAGAGAACAUUUGAAGAUCUCUGCUCUGGCAGUGUGGGCGGCAAAGAAGCAGUUCUUUUCUGCCAACAUUGCUUCCACAAAUUAACGUCCAGCCGGUGCUGGUCUAAGAUCUACAGUGUUGGCCGCAAGAGAGAGGUGAGAGUGCACUGUACUAGGAGUCACAGCAGGAGCUGGAAGAGAGGGGGAGUCACUCCAUCUUUACUCGCUUCUCACUGAUGGUGAGCAAGGGCUCCCUAGCUCUUGGGCCCAUUCGCCACACCUCUUUCAUGGAACAGAGCCUCCUUCAACACCCAAGAAACUGGAGUUGCUUUUCUACUUUAGGCAGAAGUUAAGUUCAGCUGAUACGGCCCGUGUGAAACUAUUGACCUGAAAUUUUACAACUGCAAUUGACAUGUUGAUGACAUGCUCUUAGGCUGACAUAAUCUAAAGGAAACUUCGGUUGUAUGUUCUUGUUAGGUAUCUAAGAAAUUGAUGUCUAUGCACCCGGUUGGAUCUUUAGGAUCUGGAGCUACUGAAAGGCUGCCUCAGCCAAAUAGGUCUUUUGAUAACCUAUAGAUUAAAAGACAGGUGUUGCACAUUUUGCUUGCUUUGAAGAAAAAGGUAAUGUAAUUCAGUCACCUGCCUGGUAUGGUUCUGUGAUACUGCAAGAUUAAAAAGAAACUGUAAGAAAUGGCUAAUUUUUACUGCCUCAUUGUCCGAGAUGAAGUCCUCUGAAUGAACCGACCAAGCUUAUCUUUCACCUGAAACCUCUCUGUGUGUAAUUAAGGAGAGCUGGUCUUGUGGUAGCAAGCAUGAAUUGUCACCUUUGCUAAGCAGGGUCUGCCCUGGUUUGCAUUUGGAUAGGAGACUAGAAGUGUGAGUACUGUAAGCUAUUCCCCUUAGGGGAUUGGGCUGCUCUGGGAAGAGCAUCUAGGUUCCAAGUUCCCUUCCUGGCAUCUCCAAGAUAGGGCUGAGAGAGACUCCUGCCUGAAAUCUUGGAGAAGCCGCUGCCAGUCUCUGUAGACAAUACUGAGCUAGAUGGACCAAGGGUCUGACUCAACAUAUGACAGCUUCCUAUGUCCCUAUGAAGGGUACCCUGUGGUUGUACAUAAUACAGCCCAAACCUGCUUAGGGGAGUUAUCAAACCUAGGUCCCCAGAUGCUGCUGGACUACAACUCCCAUUAUUCCCAGCCACAAUGGCCAAAGGCUGUGGAUGAUGGGAGCUGUAGUUCAACAAUCUCUGGGGAUCCAAAUUUGAGAACCCUUGCCUUAGGCCAUAAGAAUAUACACAUUACCUUUCUGACAGGGUCUACUAUGAUCCCAGAAGAAGCGUUUCAAGUUUUCAGUACCCAUGUUCAGACAUUGUAUUGUAUGUGUAUGCAGGUAUCUGCACACAUGUACACAUUUUUUGUGAAUGACUGUACAUGCAUUCAUUUUGUGAACCUGAGCACAGACCCCCUUAAAGGCACAGCACAGGUAGGAAGUUCACUGCUGUACAUGCGUUCAACAUAACAUGUGAACAACUGUAUGUGCACACAAAUUUAUAUGCGUAUACGGUGUACACAGAUUGAACAUGUGUUUAACAUAACAAGUCUAUAGGGCUGAUUUCUGCACUUAAAAGACCACCUUUUCGACUCACACUUAUUGGCUUUAAUUUAAUCACUUUCCUUAGGGGAAAAAAAGCUUCUAUUUUAAUAGAUGAAAUUUCAUAGUCUGCUACAAUCAUGAAAUUUUGGCCGUACCUGAGUUCUCUUCAGACUGGUUGAAGCCGCAGAUCUGGCAAAU